AUACUUACCUGGCAGGGGAGACACCAUGAUCAGGCAGGUGGUUUUCCCAGGGUGAGGUCCAUCUUCUACACUCCAGAUGUGCUGACCCCUACAAUUUCUCCAAAUGUGGGAAACUCAACUGCAUAAUUUGUGGUAGUGGGAAUUUAAUUUUCUUUUUUUUUUUU
RNAcentral lists this small nuclear RNA (164 nucleotides) under Colius striatus (speckled mousebird). RNAcentral describes it as "U1 spliceosomal RNA". It matches the Rfam family "U1 spliceosomal RNA". Rfam says of the family: U1 is a small nuclear RNA (snRNA) component of the spliceosome (involved in pre-mRNA splicing). Its 5' end forms complementary base pairs with the 5' splice junction, thus defining the 5' donor site of an intron. The record is from Rfam by way of RNAcentral. Lineage: Eukaryota; Metazoa; Chordata; Aves; Coliiformes; Coliidae.